Molecule: non-coding RNA, 136 nt
Organism: Triticum urartu
Lineage: Eukaryota; Viridiplantae; Streptophyta; Magnoliopsida; Poales; Poaceae
Source: Rfam
UCCGGUAAAUCACACUUAAGCCCUGAUACCUAAGUCCUGCUGGAUACGGUCUCCUGGCCGCAACCCCGAGUUGCCAGGGUGCAGAAAGAAAUGACUGCAUCUCCCCUCUUUGGAAAGGUGUUCUGGUGCCACAAUU